Long non-coding RNA from Mastomys coucha (southern multimammate mouse), 436 nucleotides. RefSeq lists it as uncharacterized. NCBI's taxonomy places the organism in Eukaryota, Metazoa, Chordata, Mammalia, Rodentia, Muridae. The record is from RefSeq and is a predicted model, not a curated record. The transcript is spliced from 3 exons.
UUUCUAAUUAUGAGCCUAUUAGAGGCCCUGCCUAUCUCCAUGGUGACCACAUAGUUCUUCAUCAGCUGUAAAUUAACCCCUGAUUAGCUGCUUGCCAUCUCCUAAAGAUGCUGUUCCACCUGUCCUGAUGCUUAGCCAUGACUACAGAAUCUCAAACCAACGAAGAAGAAAAGAAACUACUUUGGGCAGAGUCUAUAGAUCAUAAAUGUGAUGAAUGGGUCCCAUCUGUGCAACACAACUUUAAACAAAGCCACACUGAACCAAUGCACAGAGUCAGAACAUCCCAGAACGUGAGCAAGAAAAGACCAUUUCCAUUCAGUUCUAAGUAAAUGCAUCAUUGCCUAAACUGUGACCAAAUAUAACAAAGGAGAUGCCACAGCAUCAUUUUUUUGCAGGUAUCUCAUUUAUACUCAUAACUACCUCACAUUGCUAGUCU